This 354-nucleotide ribosomal RNA is filed under the name Triticum aestivum (bread wheat). RNAcentral's name for it is "partial small subunit ribosomal RNA". The record is from RNAcentral. Lineage: Eukaryota; Viridiplantae; Streptophyta; Magnoliopsida; Poales; Poaceae.
GCUUUGAGCCGGCACGGGUAUCGUGGCGGACCAUCUAUACUGACAGUUGCUCCUCCAAAGGUUGAACCUAACUGGACUUGGUCCACUGGGAAAGAUCGCAACGAGAAGGAAGUUCUAACCGAGUCUUUUGAAGAGCGGGAACGCACAAGGGCUGCAGUAACUGAAGGAGAGAAGCUUAUCGGUGUGAUGAACCCCCAACCAAGGCAGACCGAGAAAGAGAAGGAUGCUGCUUCAUUCUCACAGAAGGAGAAGCGGAAGAGAGACCGUGGGCAGGCCAGCAGGGGUAAGAACUACGUCGAGGAGGAGAAGCGGCUCCUGAGGGGGAGUGGUGUCUACUCUGGCUUCGAUACUUGA